AUGAGACCCAAAGACAUCGCCCCGAAGAUUUUUGACCUAUCAAAAAGAAGGGGAUGUUCGGUUCAGAAGGCUUUGGAUAAUAACUUCUGGGUCUCUCAAGUCAAAACAGAUGGGAUCACCUCCGCUACACACCUGACCGAGUUCGUCAACCUUUGGGAGAAAUUAUCUGUGGUACAACUCAACCCCGACGUGGCUGAUUCUAUCUCUUGGAAGCUUUCUAAUGAUGGCUCUUACUCCGCGUCCUCGGCCUACAAGGUCCAGUUCCUGGGCUUAGUUGACUCCAACAUGCAACAGUUGGUGUGGAAGAUCUGGGCUCCCCCCAAAUGCAAAUUCUUUGCUUGGCUUGUGAUCAACAAUAGGAUAUGGACGGCCGACAGGCUCCAACGCGUGGAUGGCCUAACUAUGAUCGCUGCCCCCUCUGCAAGCAAGUUCAGGAAACCGCGGCUCACCUCCUUUUCCAAUGUCGCUACACGGUCCGAGUUUGGGAAAUGA
This 492-nucleotide ribosomal RNA is filed under the name Triticum aestivum (bread wheat). Its description in RNAcentral is "partial small subunit ribosomal RNA". Lineage: Eukaryota; Viridiplantae; Streptophyta; Magnoliopsida; Poales; Poaceae. The record is from RNAcentral.